Molecule: ribosomal RNA, 495 nt
Filed under: uncultured bacterium
Lineage: Bacteria
Description: partial 16S ribosomal RNA
Rfam family: Bacterial small subunit ribosomal RNA
Source: RNAcentral
GAUGAACGCUGGCGGCGUGCCUAAUACAUGCAAGUAGAACGCUGAAGGAGGAGCUUGCUCUUCUGGAUGAGUUGCGAACGGGUGAGUAACGCGUAGGUAACCUGCCUGGUAGCGGGGGAUAACUAUUGGAAACGAUAGCUAAUACCGCAUGACAACAGUUAUUGCAUGAUAACUGUUUAAAAGGGGCAACUGCUCCACUACCAGAUGGACCUGCGUUGUAUUAGCUAGUUGGUGAGGUAACGGCUCACCAAGGCGACGAUACAUAGCCGACCUGAGAGGGUGAUCGGCCACACUGGGACUGAGACACGGCCCAGACUCCUAGGGGAGGCAGCAGUAGGGAAUCUUCGGCAAUGGACGGAAGUCUGACCGAGCAACGCCGCGUGAGUGAAGAAGGUUGUCGGAUCGUAAAGCUCUGUUGUAAGAGAAGAACGAGUGUGAGAGUGGAAAGUUCACACUGUGACGGUAUCUUACCAGAAAGGGACGGCUAACUACGUG